Molecule: transfer RNA, 74 nt
Filed under: Cordyceps militaris CM01
Lineage: Eukaryota; Fungi; Ascomycota; Sordariomycetes; Hypocreales; Cordycipitaceae
Description: tRNA-Cys (GCA) (tRNA-Cys-GCA-3-1)
Rfam family: tRNA
About the family: Transfer RNA (tRNA) molecules are approximately 80 nucleotides in length.
Source: RNAcentral
ACCCGGUUAGCUCAAUUGGCUAGAGCGUUGGACUGCAAAUCCAAAGGCUACGAGUUCGACCCUCGUACUGGGUG